RNAcentral lists this non-coding RNA (24 nucleotides) under Arabidopsis thaliana (thale cress). Lineage: Eukaryota; Viridiplantae; Streptophyta; Magnoliopsida; Brassicales; Brassicaceae. The record is from RNAcentral.
CAUACUCUCGCUGAUCAACCACCG